GCAGAUAUGGCCGAGCGGUUAAGGCGACUGACUCGAAAUCAGUUUCCAUCUUGGAGCGUAGGUUCGAAUCCUACUAUCUGCG
Molecule: transfer RNA, 82 nt
Filed under: Daphnia pulicaria
Lineage: Eukaryota; Metazoa; Arthropoda; Branchiopoda; Diplostraca; Daphniidae
Description: tRNA-Ser
Rfam family: tRNA
About the family: Transfer RNA (tRNA) molecules are approximately 80 nucleotides in length. Their secondary structure includes four short double-helical elements and three loops (D, anti-codon, and T loops).
Source: RNAcentral